Long non-coding RNA from Oncorhynchus keta (chum salmon), 3038 nucleotides. RefSeq lists it as uncharacterized. The transcript has 9 exons. Lineage: Eukaryota; Metazoa; Chordata; Actinopteri; Salmoniformes; Salmonidae. The record is from RefSeq and is a predicted model, not a curated record.
AACUGGUAUAUGAAGACAGUGUAGUAGUGUUAUAACUGGUAUAUGAAGACAGUGUAGUGUUAACAUGUUAUAACUGGUAUAUGAAGACAGUGUAGUAGUGUUAACAUGUUAUAACUGGUAUAUGAAGACAGUGUAGUAGUGUUAACAUGUUAUAACUGGUAUAUGAAGACAGUGUAGUAGUGUUAACAUGUUAUAACUGGUAUAUGAAGACAGUGUAGUAGUGUUAUCAUGUUAUAACUGGUAUAUGAAGACAGUGUAGUGUUAACAUGUUAUAACUGGUAUAUGAAGACAGUGUAGUAGUGUUAACAUGUUAUAACUGGUAUAUGAAGACAGUGUAGUAGUGUUAACAUGUUAUAACAGGUAUAUGAAGACAGUGUAGUAGUGUUAUAACUGGUAUAUGAAGACAGUGUAGUGUUAACAUGUUAUAACUGGUAUAUGGAGACAGUGUAGUAGUGUUAACAUGUUAUAACUGGUAUAUGAAGACAGUGUAGUAGUGUUAACAUGUUAUAACUGGUAUAUGAAGACAGUGUAGUAGUGUUAUCAUGUUAUAACUGGUAUAUGAAGACAGUGUAGUGUUAACAUGUUAUAACUGGUAUAUGAAGACAGUGUAGUAGUGUUAACAUGUUAUAACUGGUAUAUGAAGACAGUGUAGUAGUGUUAACAUGUUAUAACAGGUAUAUGAAGACAGUGUAGUAGUGUUAACAUGUUAUAACUGGUGUAUAUUUGUAUAUAAUCGAACACCUUUGGGAUGAAUUGGAAAGCCUACUGCAGGGCCUAAUCGCCCCCAACAUCAGUACCCGUUUGGAAUGAGAUGUUGGAUGAGCAGUUGUCCACGUACCUUUUGGUUAUGUAGUGUGUGUAUAACAUGUAGAUAUGUCAAGGUAGCCUGGGUGCCAGUCAGUUUGUGCUCUCUUGCCAACUCCUUAUGGAUUUUUGAUGGCAUGACACUGAGUGUGAAGUGUUAACGAUUAUUACUGUGUAAUACCAGGUAUAUGAAGUGUUAUAACUAUUACUGUGUAAUACCAGGUAUAUGAAGUGUUAUUACUGUGUAAUACCAGGUAUAUGAAGUGUUAUUACUGUGUAAUACCAGGUAUAUGAAGUGUUAUAACUAUUACUGUGUAAUACCAGGUAUAUGAAGUGUUAUAACUAUUACUGUGUAAUACCAGGUAUAUGAAGUGUUAUAACUAUUACUGUGUAAUACCAGGUAUAUGAAGCGUUAUAACUAUUACUGUGUAAUACCAGGUAUAUGAAGCGUUAUAACUAUUACUGUGUAAUACCAGGUAUAUGAAGUGUUAUAACUAUUACUGUGUAAUACCAGGUAUAUGAAGUGUUAUAACUAUUACUGUGUAAUACCAGGUAUAUGAAGUGUUAUAACUAUUACUGUGUAAUACCAGGUAUAUGAAGUGUUAUAACUAUUACUGUGUAAUACCAGGUAUAUGAAGUGUUAUAACUAAUGUGUAAUACCAGGUAUAUGAAGCGUUAUAACUAUUACUGUGUAAUACCAGGUAUAUGAAGUGUUAUAACUAUUACUGUGUAAUACCAGGUAUAUGAAGUGUUAUAACUAUUACUGUGUAAUACCAGGUAUAUGAAGUGUUAUAACUAUUACUGUGUAAUACCAGGUAUAUGAAGCGUUAUAACUAUUACUGUGUAAUACCAGGUAUAUGAAGUGUUAUAACUAAUGUGUAAUACCAGGUAUAUGAAGUGUUAUAACUAUUACUGUGUAAUACCAGGUAUAUGAAGUGUUAUAACUAUUACUGUGUAAUACCAGGUAUAUGAAGUGUUAUAACUAUUACUGUGUAAUACCAGGUAUAUGAAGUGUUAUAACUAUUACUGUGUAAUACCAGGUAUAUGAAGUGUUAUAACUAAUGUGUAAUACCAGGUAUAUGAAGUGUUAUAACUAUUACUGUGUAAUACCAGGUAUAUGAAGUGUUAUAACUAUUACUGUGUAAUACCAGGUAUAUGAAGUGUUAUAACUAUUACUGUGUAAUACCAGGUAUAUGAAGUGUUAUAACUAUUACUGUGUAAUACCAGGUAUAUGAAGUGUUAUAACUAAUGUGUAAUACCAGGUAUAUGAAGCGUUAUAACUAUUACUGUGUAAUACCAGGUAUAUGAAGCGUUAUAACUAUUACUGUGUAAUACCAGGUAUAUGAAGUGUUAUAACUAUUACUGUGUAAUACCAGGUAUAUGAAGUGUUAUAACUAAUGUGUAAUACCAGGUAUAUGAAGUGUUAUAACUAUUACUGUGUAAUACCAGGUAUAUGAAGUGUUAUAACUAUUACUGUGUAAUACCAGGUAUAUGAAGUGUUAUAACUAUUACUGUGUAAUACCAGGUAUAUGAAGUGUUAUAACUAUUACUGUGUAAUACCAGGUAUAUGAAGUGUUAUAACUAUUACUGUGUAAUACCAGGUAUAUGAAGUGUUAUAACUAUUACUGUGUAAUACCAGGUAUAUGAAGUGUUAUAACUAAUGUGUAAUACCAGGUAUAUGAAGUGUUAUAACUAAUGUGUAAUACCAGGUAUAUGAAGUGUUAUAACUAUUACUGUGUAAUACCAGGUAUAUGAAGUGUUAUAACUAUUACUGUGUAAUACCAGGUAUAUGAAGCGUUAUAACUAUUACUGUGUAAUACCAGGUAUAUGAAGUGUUAUAACUAUUACUGUGUAAUACCAGGUAUAUGAAGUGUUAUAACUAUUACUGUGUAAUACCAGGUAUAUGAAGUGUUAUAACUAUUACUGUGUAAUACCAGGUAUAUGAAGUGUUAUAACUAUUACUGUGUAAUACCAGGUAUAUGAAGCGUUAUAACUAUUACUGUGUAAUACCAGGUAUAUGAAGUGUUAUAACUAUUACUGUGUAAUACCGGUACGGUAACUGUUAUUACUGGGUAAUACCGGGUACGGUAACUGUUAUUACUGUGUAAUACCGGGUAUGGUAACUGUUAUUACUGUGUAAUACCGGGUACGGUAACUGUUAUUACUGGGUAAUACCAGGUAUGGUAACUGUUAUUACUGUGUAAUACCAUGUAUGGUAACUGUUAUUACUGUGU